AUAUUUGCUUCCAUGAUAAUUGGCCCAGAACUUAGAUCCAUUUGUUGCUUACAAGAUCACUUUCUCAAUAUCUAUUUAUAAGUAUGAUGUACCGUAGGGGAGUAAUUUGUGGUUUUUGUGUGGGGAAGAAGGUGGGAUUUUGGCCAAAAAAAUUAGGUGCAGGGGCUGGUAUUUAAGUGUAGUAGUACGUUUUUCCAUUUGGUUUAUUUUGAGAUGUGUUAGGAGUGAGCAGGUCACACAACUAUAUA
RNAcentral lists this long non-coding RNA (248 nucleotides) under Trifolium pratense (red clover). Its description in RNAcentral is "long non-coding RNA (TPRA_LNC004226)". The record is from RNAcentral. Lineage: Eukaryota; Viridiplantae; Streptophyta; Magnoliopsida; Fabales; Fabaceae.